This 308-nucleotide ribosomal RNA is filed under the name uncultured bacterium. Its description in RNAcentral is "partial 16S ribosomal RNA". It matches the Rfam family "Bacterial small subunit ribosomal RNA", at positions 505 to 807 of the family's 1533-position model. The record is from RNAcentral.
GAGACAGCAGUCGCCGCGGUAAUACGGAGGGGGCUAGCGUUGUUCGGAAUUACUGGGCGUAAAGCGUACGUAGGCGGCUUUGUAAGUUAGAGGUGAAAGCCUGGAGCUCAACUCCAGAAUUGCCUUUAAGACUGCAUCGCUUGAACGUCGGAGAGGUGAGUGGAAUUCCGAGUGUAGAGGUGAAAUUCGUAGAUAUUCGGAAGAACACCAGUGGCGAAGGCGGCUCACUGGACGACUGUUGACGCUGAGGUACGAAAGCGUGGGGAGCAAACAGGAUUAGAUACCCCUGUAGUCCCUGUCUCUUAUAC